UACGUAGGGGGCGAGCGUUGUCCGGAUUCAUUGGGCGUAAAGCGCGCGUAGGCGGCAGCGCAAGUCGGCCGUGAAAUCUCCAGGCUCAACCUGGAGGGGUCGGGCGAGACUGCGCCGCUCGAGGUGGGCAGAGGGCAGUGGAAUUCCGGGUGUAGUGGUGGAAUGCGUAGAGAUCCGGAGGAACACCAGUGGCGAAGGCGGCUGCCUGGGCCUGGCCUGACGCUGAGGCGCGAAAGCGUGGGGAGCAAUC
RNAcentral lists this ribosomal RNA (250 nucleotides) under uncultured Chloroflexota bacterium. RNAcentral's name for it is "uncultured Chloroflexi bacterium partial 16S ribosomal RNA". It matches the Rfam family "Bacterial small subunit ribosomal RNA", at positions 524 to 773 of the family's 1533-position model. The record is from RNAcentral. Lineage: Bacteria; Bacillati; Chloroflexota.